GCCCCAGUGGCGAAAUGGUAGACGCGGCAGACUCAAAAUCUGUUGCUCGAGAGAGCGUGCUGGUUCGAGUCCGGCCUGGGGCACCA
This is a transfer RNA of 86 nucleotides. It matches the Rfam family "tRNA". Rfam says of the family: Transfer RNA (tRNA) molecules are approximately 80 nucleotides in length. Their secondary structure includes four short double-helical elements and three loops (D, anti-codon, and T loops).